This 385-nucleotide ribosomal RNA is filed under the name uncultured soil bacterium. RNAcentral describes it as "bacterial SSU rRNA". It matches the Rfam family "Bacterial small subunit ribosomal RNA", at positions 26 to 425 of the family's 1533-position model. The record is from RNAcentral.
AGAUUGAACGCUGGCGGCAUGCCUAACACAUGCAAGUCGAACGGGAGUAGCAAUACUCUAGUGGCGGACGGGUGAGGAAUACGUAGGAAUUUGCCCUUAAGUGGGGGAUAACCCGGGGAAACCCGGAUUAAUACCGCAUGACCUCGAAAGAGCAAAGUGGGGGAUCGCAAGACCUCACGCUUUUGGAGAAGCCUACGUCGGAUUAGCUAGUUGGUGAGGUAAUGGCUCACCAAGGCGACGAUCCGUAACUGGUCUGAGAGGAUGAUCAGUCACACCGGAACUGAGACACGGUCCGGACUCCUACGGGAGCAGCAGUGGGGAAUAUGGACAAUGGGCGCAAGCCUGAUCCAGCAAUGCCGCGUGUGUGAAGAAGGCCUUCGGGUUG